UUAUAUGGUCAAGAAGAGAAGCGCAAACGGUGGAUGCCUUGGCAGUAAGAGGCGAAGAAGGACGUGGAAUCCUGCGAAAAGCUAUGGGGAGCUGGAAACGAGCGUUGAGCCAUAGAUGUCCGAAUGGGGGAACCCGGCUGCAGCGAUGCGGUCAUUUGCAUUUGAAUACAUAGGAUGCAAAGGCGAACUCGGGGAACUGAAACAUCUAAGUACCCGAAGGAAAAGAAAUCAAGAGAGAUUCUCCAAGUAGCGGCGAGCGAACGGGGAGGAGCCUGGCGUGAUUUAUUAUUGAACUGAGUAGAACAAUUUGGGAAAGUUGGCCGUAGAGGGUGAAAGCCCCGUAUACGAAGGUUUGAUGAGGAACUAGGCACGCGAACAAGUAGGCCGGGACACGUGAAAUCCUGGUUGAAGAUGGGUGGACCAUCAUCCAAGGCUAAAUACUACUUACUGACCGAUAGUGAACCAGUACCGUGAGGGAAAGGUGAAAAGAACCCCGGAGAGGGGAGUGAAAUAGAAUCUGAAACCGUUUGCGUACAAGCAGUGGGAGCAUGGUUUAGGCUGUGUGACUGCGUACCUUUUGUAUAAUGGGUCAGCGAGUUACUUUCAGUGGCGAGGUUAACUGAAUAAGGGAGCCGUAGAGAAAUCGAGUCUGAAUAGGGCGAUAGUCGCUGGGAGUAGACCCGAAACCGGGCGAUCUAGCCAUGUGCAGGAUGAAGGUUGGGUAACACCAACUGGAGGUCCGAACCGGGUAAUGUUGAAAAAUUAUCGGAUGACGUGUGGCUAGGAGUGAAAGGCUAAUCAAGCCCGGAGAUAGCUGGUUCUCCCCGAAAGCUAUUUAGGUAGCGCCUCGUGAAUGAUUACUGGGGGUAGAGCACUGUUUCGGCUAGGGGGCUGUCAUGGCUUACCAAACCGAUGCAAACUCCGAAUACCGGCUAAUUGGAUCACGGGAGACACACGGCGGGUGCUAACGUCCGUCGUGGAGAGGGAAACAACCCAGACCGCCAGCUAAGGUCCCCAAGUACUAGUUAAGUGGGAAACGAUGUGGGAAGGCAUAGACAGCCAGGAGGUUGGCUUAGAAGCAGCCACCCUUUAAAGAAAGCGUAAUAGCUCACUGGUCGAGUCGGCCUGCGCGGAAGAUGUAACGGGGCUAAAACUAGUCACCGAAGCUGCGGAUGUGCGCGAAGGCGCACGUGGUAGGGGAGCGUUCUGUAGGCUGAUGAAGGUGCAUUGAGAAGUGUGCUGGAGGUAUCAGAAGUGCGAAUGCUGACAUGAGUAACGAUAAUGUGGGUGAAAAGCCCACACGCCGGAAGUCCCAGGUUUCCUGCACGACGUUAAUCGGAGCAGGGUGAGUCGGCCCCUAAGGCGAGGCU
RNAcentral lists this ribosomal RNA (1370 nucleotides) under Legionella pneumophila. RNAcentral describes it as "partial 23S ribosomal RNA". It matches the Rfam family "Bacterial large subunit ribosomal RNA", at positions 1 to 1403 of the family's 2925-position model. Lineage: Bacteria; Pseudomonadati; Pseudomonadota; Gammaproteobacteria; Legionellales; Legionellaceae. RNAcentral also lists the same sequence under 1 other name. The record is from RNAcentral.